Molecule: non-coding RNA, 94 nt
Filed under: Enterobacter cloacae
Lineage: Bacteria; Pseudomonadati; Pseudomonadota; Gammaproteobacteria; Enterobacterales; Enterobacteriaceae
Description: ES056 sRNA
Rfam family: ES056 sRNA
About the family: Differentially expressed under several chemical stress and fermentation conditions.
Source: RNAcentral
AGAUGUACGAAAUUCGUUUUAUAUUUUCCUCCCUUGUGGAGGUUAUGGUUUGAUUCUACACACAGCAGCGCAACAUCUGUCAGUACUUCUGGUG